UACGAAGGACCCGAGCGUUAUCCGGAUUUAUUGGGAUUAAAGGGUGCGUAGGCGGACUUACAAGUCAGUGGUGAAAUCUCCCCGCUCAACGGGGAAACUGCCAUUGAAACUAUUUGUCUUGAGUACAUUUGAGGCGGGCGGAAUGUGUCAUGUAGAGGUGAAAUUCUUAGAUAUGACACAGAACACCAAUUGCGAAGGCAGCUCGCUAAACUGUAACUGACGCUGAGGCACGAAAGCGUGGGUAGCAAACAGG
This 253-nucleotide ribosomal RNA is filed under the name uncultured bacterium. Its description in RNAcentral is "partial 16S ribosomal RNA". It matches the Rfam family "Bacterial small subunit ribosomal RNA", at positions 524 to 776 of the family's 1533-position model. The record is from RNAcentral.